GAUGAACGCUGGCGGCGUGCCUAAUACAUGCAAGUCGAGCGAACGGACGAGAAGCUUGCUUCUCUGAUGUUAGCGGCGGACGGGUGAGUAACACGUGGAUAACCUACCUAUAAGACUGGGAUAACUUCGGGAAACCGGAGCUAAUACCGGAUAAUAUUUUGAACCGCAUGGUUCAAAAGUGAAAGACGGUCUUGCUGUCACUUAUAGAUGGAUCCGCGCUGCAUUAGCUAGUUGGUAAGGUAACGGCUUACCAAGGCAACGAUGCAUAGCCGACCUGAGAGGGUGAUCGGCCACACUGGAACCGAGACACGGUCCAGACUCCUACGGGAGGCAGCAGUAGGGAAUCUUCCGCAAUGGGCGAAAGCCUGACGGAGCAACGCCGCGUGAGUGAUGAAGGUCUUCGGAUCGUAAAACUCUGUUAUUAGGGAAGAACAUAUGUGCAAGUAACUGUGCACAUCUUGACGGUACCUAAUCAGAAAGCCACGGCUAACUACGUG
This 497-nucleotide ribosomal RNA is filed under the name uncultured bacterium. Its description in RNAcentral is "partial 16S ribosomal RNA". It matches the Rfam family "Bacterial small subunit ribosomal RNA", at positions 28 to 507 of the family's 1533-position model. The record is from RNAcentral.